GAGGAAUAUUGGUCAAUGGGCGCAAGCCUGAACCAGCCAUCCCGCGUGCAGGAAGACGGCCCUAUGGGUUGUAAACUGCUUUUCCAGGGGGAGAAUUUUUCUGUCGUGACAGGAAUUGACGGUACCCUGGGAAUAAGCAUCGGCUAACUCCGUGCCAGCAGCCGCGGUAAUACGGAGGAUGCGAGCGUUAUCCGGAUUUAUUGGGUUUAAAGGGUGCGUAGGCGGAUUGAUAAGUCAGUGGUGAAAACCUGCAGCUUAACUGUAGACUUGCCGGUGAGACUGUCAGUCUUGAGUGUGGUCAAGGUAGGCGGAAUGUGUAAUGUAGCGGUGAAAUGCUUAGAUAUUACACAGAACACCGAUUGCGAAGGCAGCUUACUGGGCCAUUACUGACGCUGAUGCACGAAAGCGUGGGGA
RNAcentral lists this ribosomal RNA (414 nucleotides) under uncultured bacterium. Its description in RNAcentral is "bacterial SSU rRNA". It matches the Rfam family "Bacterial small subunit ribosomal RNA", at positions 356 to 767 of the family's 1533-position model. The record is from RNAcentral.